UAAUGGGUCAGCGACUUAUAUUCAGUGGCAAGGUUAACCAUCUAGGGGAGCCGUAGGGAAACCGAGUCUUAACUGGGCGUUCAGUCUCUGGAUAUAGACCCGAAACCAGGUGAUCUAGCCAUGGGCAGGUUGAAGGUUGAGUAACAUCAACUGGAGGACCGAACCGACUAAUGUUGAAAAAUUAGCGGAUGACUUGUGGCUAGGGGUGAAAGGCCAAUCAAACCUGGAGAUAGCUGGUUCUCCCCGAAAGCUAUUUAGGUAGCGCCUCGGACGAAUACUACUGGGGGUAGAGCACUGUUAAGGCUAGGGGGUCAUCCCGACUUACCAACCCUUUGCAAACUCCGAAUACCAGUAAGUACUAUCCGGGAGACACACGGCGGGUGCUAACGUCCGUCGUGGAGAGGGAAACAACCCAGACCGCCAGCUAAGGUCCCAAAUUACUACUAAGUGGGAAACGAUGUGGGAAGGCUCAGACAGCCAGGAUGUUGGCUUAGAAGCAGCCAUCAUUUAAAGAAAGCGUAAUAGCUCACUGGUCGAGUCGGCCUGCGCGGAAGAUGUAACGGGGCUAAGUAGUAAACCGAAGCUGCGGCAAUAUACUUUUGUAUAUUGGGUAGGGGAGCGUUCUGUAAGCGGUUGAAGGUGUGUGGUAACGCAUGCUGGACGUAUCAGAAGUGCGAAUGCUGACAUGAGUAACGAUAAAGGGGGUGAAAAACCUCCUCGCCGGAAGACCAAGGGUUCCUGUCCAACGUUAAUCGGGGCAGGGUAAGUCGACCCCUAAGGCGAGGCCGAAAGGCGUAGUCGAUGGGAAACGGGUUAAUAUUCCCGUACUUCUUACAAUUGCGAUGGGGGGACGGAGAAGGCUAGGUGGGCCUGGCGACGGUUGUCCAGGUUCAAGUGCGUAGGCUUGAGA
Molecule: ribosomal RNA, 910 nt
Filed under: Vibrio parahaemolyticus
Lineage: Bacteria; Pseudomonadati; Pseudomonadota; Gammaproteobacteria; Vibrionales; Vibrionaceae
Description: partial 23S ribosomal RNA
Rfam family: Bacterial large subunit ribosomal RNA
Source: RNAcentral